UUCUGAUUGCUUCAUAAUCAGUAGGGCCUGCUCAAUGAACUUUAAAUAGCCGCGAUUUACGUGCUAAGGUAGCAUAAUCAAUUGCCUUCUAAUUAAAGGCUGGAAUGAAAGGCUUAACAAAUAAAAUUCUUUAUUGAAAAUAUUUCUUUAAACUAAUUUAUAAAUAAAAAAGUUUAUAUAUAUAAGGGGGACGACAAGACCCUAUCGAACUUUACUUCUUAGUUUCACUGGGGAGGUGAAAUAAUAAAAUCUUUUUAUAUUCCUAUAAAAAAAUAAUUCAGAAAGAACUUUGAACUAGUUACCGUAGGGAUAACAGCAUAAUUAAUUUUAGAAGAUCUUAUUUUAAAAUAAGAUUAUGACCUCGAUGUUGAAUUAAAGUACCUUUAGGAGAAAAAGCUUAAAAGGAAAGUCUGUUCGACUUUUAAAACUUU
RNAcentral lists this ribosomal RNA (431 nucleotides) under Conothele sp. MYG293. RNAcentral describes it as "partial 16S ribosomal RNA". It matches the Rfam family "Bacterial large subunit ribosomal RNA", at positions 1832 to 2597 of the family's 2925-position model. Lineage: Eukaryota; Metazoa; Arthropoda; Arachnida; Araneae; Ctenizidae. The record is from RNAcentral.